RNAcentral lists this ribosomal RNA (402 nucleotides) under uncultured bacterium. RNAcentral's name for it is "bacterial SSU rRNA". It matches the Rfam family "Bacterial small subunit ribosomal RNA", at positions 355 to 774 of the family's 1533-position model. The record is from RNAcentral.
UGGGGAAUUUUGCGCAAUGGGGGAAACCCUGACGCAGCAACGCCGCGUGGAGGAUGAAAUCCCUUGGGAUGUAAACUCCUUUCGAUCGGGACGAUUAUGACGGUACCGGAAGAAGAAGCCCCGGCUAACUUCGUGCCAGCAGCCGCGGUAAUACGAGGGGGGCAAGCGUUGUUCGGAAUUAUUGGGCGUAAAGGGCGCGUAGGCGGUUUGACAAGUCUGAUGUGAAAUCUAUGGGCUCAACCCAUAGCCUGCAUCGGAAACUGUCGGGCUUGAGUAUGGGAGAGGUGAGUGGAAUUUCCGGUGUAGCGGUGAAAUGCGUAGAUAUCGGAAGGAACACCUGUGGCGAAAGCGGCUCACUGGACCAUUACUGACGCUGAGGCGCGAAAGCUAGGGGAGCAAACA